RNAcentral lists this RNase P RNA (309 nucleotides) under Deltaproteobacteria bacterium. RNAcentral describes it as "partial RNase P RNA component class A". It matches the Rfam family "Bacterial RNase P class A", at positions 51 to 367 of the family's 367-position model. From Rfam's summary of the family: Ribonuclease P (RNase P) is a ubiquitous endoribonuclease, found in archaea, bacteria and eukarya as well as chloroplasts and mitochondria. Its best characterised activity is the generation of mature 5'-ends of tRNAs by cleaving the 5'-leader elements of precursor-tRNAs. Lineage: Bacteria; Pseudomonadati; Myxococcota; Myxococcia. The record is from RNAcentral.
UCCGGGCUCCGCAGGGCAGGGUGCCGGGUAACGCCCGGUGGGGGUAACCCCGAGGAAAGUGCCACAGAAAACAGACCGCCGGCUGUGCCGGCAAGGGUGAAAACGUGGGGUAAGAGCCCACGGGCGCGAGUAGCAAUACCCGCGUCGGCAAACCCCACCCGGAGCAAGACCAAGCAGGGGGCGGGUGGCCCGCUCGAUGCCCCCGGGUUGGUUGCUCGAGGCCCGCGGCGACGCGAGGCCCAGAUGAAUGGUCGCCACCAGGCAGCGUGCUGCCUGGAACAGAACCCGGCUUACAGGCCACCGUGACCA